RNAcentral lists this ribosomal RNA (583 nucleotides) under Chalastonepsia orientalis. RNAcentral describes it as "eukaryotic LSU rRNA". Lineage: Eukaryota; Metazoa; Arthropoda; Insecta; Diptera; Mycetophilidae. The record is from RNAcentral.
ACAUGAACAUCGACAUUUUGAACGCAUAUAGCGGUUCAUACUGACUAGUUUCCUAACCGAAGCUGUAUGGACCACACAUGGUUGAGGGUCGUGUGUUUAUGCUAACUGAAUUGCUGUUGCUUCUUCGGAAGUAUUCGGCUACAUGCUGAGGCGUUGUCAAUCUUAAGUGUAUUGCCAUCCCUUGAAAAUACCUAUUGCAGGUACACAAUUUCAUAUUAUUUGUGGAAUGCUUGUUUUAUCAAAGAGAACAAAUGGAGGUAGAAUCGUCUAGUGCGGUACGCAUUGUACAAAGGCUACGUGCUGGUGUCUAUGAUUCGUAACUAGUAAACUUUGAUUUAAGCGUUUAAACAUAAUAGUUUACGCAUUUCGAAGUGGAAAGUAAAACACGUUUGACAUCGGUAUUCACGUACUUAAAAUGUCGUGUGCUGUAGCUGGGAUACAUACGCCAUUCUUGUCGUUAAUUUUCUUUGAAGCUAUAGAAAACAAUUCCCAUCAGAAAGCGGGUGGUAUUUCACAUCAAAAUAAUAUGUAUAUUGAAAAUAAACAUACAACAAAGCGACCUCAACUCAUGUGAGACUACCCC